GCUCAACCGGGGAGGGUCAUUGGAAACUGGGAAACUUGAGUGCAGAAGAGGAGAGUGGAAUUCCACGUGUAGCGGUGAAAUGCGUAGAGAUGUGGAGGAACACCAGUGGCGAAGGCGACUCUCUGGUCUGUAACUGACGCUGAGGAGCGAAAGCGUGGGGAGCGAACAGGAUUAGAUACCCUGGUAGUCCACGCCGUAAACGAUGAGUGCUAAGUGUUAGGGGGUUUCCGCCCCUUAGUGCUGCAGCUAACGCAUUAAGCACUCCGCCUGGGGAGUACGGUCGCAAGACUGUAACUCAAAGGAAUUGACGGGGGCCCGCACAAGCGGUGGAGCAUGUGGUUUAAUUCGAAGCAACGCGAAGAACCUUACCAGGUCUUGACAUCCUCUGACAACCCUAGAGAUAGGGCUUUCCCUUCGGGGACAGAGUGACAGGUGGUGCAUGGUUGUCGUCAGCUCGUGUCGUGAGAUGUUGGGUUAAGUCCCGCAACGAGCGCAACCCUUGAUCUUAGUUGCCAGCAUUCAGUUGGGCACUCUAAGGUGACUGCCGGUGACAAACCGGAGGAAGGUGGGGAUGACGUCAAAUCAUCAUGCCCCUUAUGACCUGGGCUACACACGUGCUACAAUGGACAGAACAAAG
RNAcentral lists this ribosomal RNA (637 nucleotides) under uncultured bacterium. Its description in RNAcentral is "bacterial SSU rRNA". It matches the Rfam family "Bacterial small subunit ribosomal RNA", at positions 607 to 1244 of the family's 1533-position model. The record is from RNAcentral.